CUUACACCUGAACUUGUCUCCAGCACUGCUGACACCCAGCUGGCACAUUCUUUCGGAGAGGGAGGGCACGACUUUUCUCCUGAGCCUCUGACAAAGCGUGGAGUCUAUAUAUGGCGCUGAGUACCCGGCUUCCACGGUCACCGCCGGCGGCGUCGGCACUAAGGACCCUAGACUCGCUGCCCCGGGGUCGGCUAAGCAUCUCCCCCCAUCUUCCUCUCUCCCAGCCGGGGACCGACUGAGGAUCGCUGUAGGACACCGGCUGUGACGCCGCGCCAUCCUCGGUGGGGGAACAUAGCCUCUGGUCUGGGACGCAAGCCUCCGGAGCGCGCUGGCAUCUCCGAGCACACAGACAGGAGCCCGGGUCCGCACCGUGAACAGCCGCCUCCUCGCUCUGUGUCCCGGAGCUGCCAGGCGCCUUCCCCACAACGGCUGGAAAGGGAAGGGACCCGGCUGUCCCUAUCAGGCUGCAGGGGUGUGGAAGUCACCGCCUUGCCCCCUCUUUGGAAGUCUUUCCCUUCCAGUUAAAGUUAUGUUUGUUUUCCCCAGCCUGACCUGUUAGUGUCUGUACCAUCACAAAUCAAUUACACAUUUUUCAUGACUCGCA
Long non-coding RNA from Peromyscus californicus insignis, 604 nucleotides. RefSeq lists it as uncharacterized. Lineage: Eukaryota; Metazoa; Chordata; Mammalia; Rodentia; Cricetidae. The transcript has 2 exons. The record is from RefSeq and is a predicted model, not a curated record.